Molecule: ribosomal RNA, 497 nt
Filed under: uncultured bacterium
Lineage: Bacteria
Description: partial 16S ribosomal RNA
Rfam family: Bacterial small subunit ribosomal RNA
Source: RNAcentral
GAUGAACGCUGGCGGCGUUCCUAAUACAUGCAAGUCGAGCGAACAGACGAGGAGCUUGCUCCUCUGACGUUAGCGGCGGACGGGUGAGUAACACGUGGAUAACCUACCUAUAAGACUGGGAUAACUUCGGGAAACCGGAGCUAAUACCGGAUAAUAUAUUGAACCGCAUGGUUCAAUAGUGAAAGACGGUUUUGCUGUCACUUAUAGAUGGAUCCGCGCCGCAUUAGCUAGUUGGUAAGGUAACGGCUUACCAAGGCGACGAUGCGUAGCCGACCUGAGAGGGUGAUCGGCCACACUGGAACUGAGACACGGUCCAGACUCCUACGGGAGGCAGCAGUAGGGAAUCUUCCGCAAUGGGCGAAAGCCUGACGGAGCAACGCCGCGUGAGUGAUGAAGGUCUUCGGAUCGUAAAACUCUGUUAUUAGGGAAGAACAAAUGUGUAAGUAACUAUGCACGUCUUGACGGUACCUAAUCAGAAAGCCACGGCUAACUACGUG